AACGAACGCUGGCGGCAUGCCUAACACAUGCAAGUCGAACGAGACCUUCGGGUCUAGUGGCGCACGGGUGCGUAACGCGUGGGAAUCUGCCCUUCGGUUGGGAAUAACUGAGAGAAAUUUCAGCUAAUACCUUAUAAUGUCUUCGGACCAAAGAUUUAUCGCCGAGGGAUGAGCCCGCGUAGGAUUAGGUAGUUGGAGGGGUAAUGGCCUACCAAGCCGACGAUCCUUAGCUGGUCUGAGAGGAUGAUCAGCCACACUGGGACUGAGGCACGGCCCAGACUCCUACGGGAGGCAGCAGUGGGGAAUAUUGGACAAUGGGCGAAAGCCUGAUCCAGCAAUGCCGCGUGAGUGAUGAAGGCCUUAGGGUUGUAAAGCUCUUUUACCCGGGAUGAUAAUGACAGUACCGGGAGAAUAAGCUCCGGCUAACUCCGUG
Molecule: ribosomal RNA, 433 nt
Filed under: uncultured bacterium
Lineage: Bacteria
Description: partial 16S ribosomal RNA
Rfam family: Bacterial small subunit ribosomal RNA
Source: RNAcentral